RNAcentral lists this unclassified non-coding RNA (245 nucleotides) under Hevea brasiliensis (rubber tree). The record is from RNAcentral. Lineage: Eukaryota; Viridiplantae; Streptophyta; Magnoliopsida; Malpighiales; Euphorbiaceae.
GAGGGAGGUUGUUCGGUCGUUUGAGAGUGAUACGAUUAAUCUCUUUGGCGGCAAGAUUUGGGAAGAGAGAGGGCGAUGGCGAUGGAGCCACUUGUAAACGCAUUCUCGGUGUUGGAGCUCGAUGUUGAAGACGAUCAAAUUCCCUCUCUUUCUACUUCCUCCAAAGAUGACGCUACUGCUUCUUCCCCUUCAAGAACAGGAAAAAGCAAGAAGGAAGUUAAUAUCUCUGGUGAUAUUCUGGCAGG